UAGGGUAUAGCUUAUUGGGGUAGAGCACUUGCCUAGAAUGUAUGAGGCCCUGGGUUUGAUUCUUAGUACCACAA
RNAcentral lists this transfer RNA (74 nucleotides) under Fukomys damarensis (Damara mole-rat). It matches the Rfam family "tRNA". Rfam says of the family: Transfer RNA (tRNA) molecules are approximately 80 nucleotides in length. Their secondary structure includes four short double-helical elements and three loops (D, anti-codon, and T loops). Lineage: Eukaryota; Metazoa; Chordata; Mammalia; Rodentia; Bathyergidae. The record is from Rfam by way of RNAcentral.